UCAUGAAUUACAUACUAGCUAGCUUUUAAAACUUAUGAUUUAUUAUAUAUAAAUAUAUGGACGUUGCAUGACAUGUUAGAUCUCAUCUAUCCUAUUAUAUAUUAAAUUUUAAAAUGUUAAUUAUCGAGUGUUGUAUAUAAAAAACUAAUAAGUAUAGAAGUAUUACUCAUAAAAUAAACGGUACUAGAUAUCUUUCUCUCUCUCUCAAAAAAAAAAAGCCAACACAUUCCAUACACAAACACUCGAUAUUUGAUACCAGAAUAUUCCUCUUUGGCCUAAAUUAGUGUAAAAUUAAUGCCCAAAUUUAGAAUAUCAAUCAAUAUUUUUCAAAUUUUGUGAUAUAUAAUUAAAAAUACUCACGAUAUGAAGUAACUUUUUAACUUGCUACAUGUUAAAAUGACAUCUUUAUUUUUUAUUUAUCAACGGUUAAAUUUUUUUUUACUUUUAUAAAACAAAGUAUCAAACUAUUUCUCUUAUUUUACAGAAAUAAACUAAGUUACAAAUAUAAAGCAAUUAUGUUUCGAACUUAUAAAAUAAACUUAGAUAAAAAUAUAAAUUAACUAAGUUUCGAAUUUGAGAACUCGUGUGCUAACCAUUAAGUUAUUUUGCCACCUGCGCUAUAUACAGUUGGUAGGUGUUGGCAUCAUUAUCUUCACAUGAAGAAUACAUAUAUAUAUAGGCUGGAAUGUUUCUAAUAGUACCAAGUCAAUAGUGCUAAUAAGUUUUCAGACCUUGGAUAAAGAAAUGUACGGUUAGGAUGAUAAUGAUCCUCUAAAACUGAGUGGGUGAUUGGUUGAAUAAUAUGAUUUAACGAACGAAAAUGCUCAAAAAGAUAAAUCUAAUAGUGGAAUUAAAACUUGGUAGCACCAAAUACUUAGUGCCAUUACAAGCACUCCAGCCGAACUCUCUUUCUCUCUCUACAUAUAGUGAUGC
Molecule: long non-coding RNA, 933 nt
Filed under: Ananas comosus (pineapple)
Lineage: Eukaryota; Viridiplantae; Streptophyta; Magnoliopsida; Poales; Bromeliaceae
Description: long non-coding RNA (ACOM_LNC012834)
Source: RNAcentral